Molecule: long non-coding RNA, 1530 nt
Filed under: Apteryx rowi (Okarito brown kiwi)
Lineage: Eukaryota; Metazoa; Chordata; Aves; Apterygiformes; Apterygidae
Description: lncRNA (ENSARWG00000002966.1)
Source: RNAcentral
CGGGCACCGGCGAGGGGCUCCCGCUGCUGGUGGGGGAGGCAGCGUCCGUGGGCGUUCCAGUGCCGCCGGGGGUCCCGGCCACCCCCGGCGCUACGGCGGCGCUGGGCUCGGGCGUCCCUGGGGCCGGCUGGGAUGUGGCCGGGUGCUGGGGGGCUGCCGGCUCUCCCAUGCCGGGGGCCGGCAGCGAGGCCCCGUGGGCCGGCGGGCUGGAGGAGGGCGGCGGGCGGCCAGUGGCUCCCCAGGGCCCAGUGUCGCCCCACUCCAGCGCCGGCGUCCCCAGGGUUUCAGUGGCCGUGGGGGUGCUGAGCCCUGGGGCCGGGGAGGUGGGUUCCGCGGAGCUGCUGGCCGGGGUGGGCUGGGGGGACCCCAGCAGGGCCGUGGGGCUGGCGUGGGGCGCUGGGGGCUCCCCGGGCAGGGCUGAUGGGUGCCCAGUGCUGGUCGGGGGGGCCCAGCCGCGCUCGGGGAGCCCCUCAGUGCCGGCCAGCCCCGACACCCCCGCGGCCGGGGUCAGGCCUCGCUCCGGGCUGGGGGACGUCUGCCCCCAGGCACCGGCCAUGGCAGUGGGGACGGGCAGCCCCGACACCGCACCAGUGGCCGGCAGCGCGCUCAGGGCGGUCCCCGCAGCUGGCCAGGCUGUGCCGGCCGUGGUGAGACCCCCUCGGCCCCCAGCCCCCGGGGCAGAGCCAGGGUCCCGCUGGGUGACGGCGGCAGGGGCCCCUCCGGGGGCUGGAUCCAUCCCCCCUGGGCUGGGGGUGCCRGUGGGGCUCAGCCUUCCCCCCGCUGCGAGGGCUGCCGUCGCCAGAGCGGGCGCAGGCGUCCCCAUGCCACUCUCGCCAGUCGCUGGUGAGGUGUCAUCCACGGGGGCCGGGGACACCGGCAAGGCACUGGCGGACGCCCACUCCCACCCGCCGGGGCCGGGGGAGCGCGUGAGGGUCCCCUCCGGCCCCACAGUGCCCACCGCCGUGGCGUUUCCCGGUGGGCCAGCCCCGGGGGGAGCCGCCGCAGUGGGAGCCGCUCCCUGGGGGGGCCUGGUGGUGGUGGGGGUCCCCUCGGCUGGGGUCACCCCCACUGUCACCACCGGGCUGGGGAUGGUGCCGGCAGGGCCCAGCAGCCACGAGCGCUCGGUGCUGGCUCCCUCCUGCCCUGGCAGCCGGGUCCGGUCGCUCCGCUCGGUGCCGGGGGGCUCAGCGGUGCCGGCGGGGGYGGCCGUGCCCUUUGCAGAGCGGGUCCCGCUGCCCAAACCUGGGCUCAGCGCGCACCAGGCAGUCACUGGGGAGAGAGGGGAGAGCGCAGCGUGCACUGGCACGAUGGCAGCACCAACAGCAUGACAGCAGCGCCCACGCCACGCUCGGCCACGGGAACUGGCACCCGGGCAGGUGAGUGGCCCCGGAGCACGGCACCGGCACCCAGGAUGGCAGCACCAGCACCUGCGACGGCAGCACCAGCACCUGCGACGGCUGCUCCAGCCUUCCCAAUGCCAACCCACCGAGCGCCCCGGAAAGGUGCGGGAUGGCUCGUGCCAGCGCUGGG